Molecule: non-coding RNA, 409 nt
Organism: Triticum urartu
Lineage: Eukaryota; Viridiplantae; Streptophyta; Magnoliopsida; Poales; Poaceae
Source: RefSeq, a predicted model, not a curated record
UCUAGGUACAUAUUAGUAGGAUGGAAAAUACUUCUGCACAACAUGGCCUUGAAAUACAGAAAUAGAUUAUGUCUUUUGUUAGACUAGAUUGUUGCCUAUGUUAUGUUGUUUGCAGGCUAUAAUUGUUCACGGAGCCAUGCAAUUGGAGCUGAGGAAAUUAUCUGCAUGGAAUGUAAACAAGUGUUGAGCCAGUGCAGAGGGAUGAUCCUCAAUUUGUUAAUUGCAGAGGCCCACAUAAAGUAAGGUCGAUAUGUGUUUAUUUGACGGUACUCACGCUGUCAGGAUUGAAUCUGUUGUCGGUAAAGAAAAUGUUGGCUCGGAUGUUAUGGGCACAACCGGUGAGAUGGUUGUUGUGUGGAUAGAGAAUCAGCUCCAUGAAAACAAAACAAAGGAGCCGAUAUUGCAAUAG